Molecule: ribosomal RNA, 842 nt
Filed under: Klebsiella pneumoniae
Lineage: Bacteria; Pseudomonadati; Pseudomonadota; Gammaproteobacteria; Enterobacterales; Enterobacteriaceae
Description: bacterial SSU rRNA
Rfam family: Bacterial small subunit ribosomal RNA
Source: RNAcentral
AGAGUUUGAUCAUGGCUCAGAUUGAACGCUGGCGGCAGGCUUAACACAUGCAAGUCGAGCGGGGGAAGGUAGCUUGCUACUGGACCUAGCGGCGGACGGGUGAGUAAUGCUUAGGAAUCUGCCUAUUAGUGGGGGACAACAUCUCGAAAGGGAUGCUAAUACCGCAUACGUCCUACGGGAGAAAGCAGGGGAUCUUCGGACCUUGCGCUAAUAGAUGAGCCUAAGUCGGAUUAGCUAGUUGGUGGGGUAAAGGCCUACCAAGGCGACGAUCUGUAGCGGGUCUGAGAGGAUGAUCCGCCACACUGGGACUGAGACACGGCCCAGACUCCUACGGGAGGCAGCAGUGGGGAAUAUUGGACAAUGGGGGGAACCCUGAUCCAGCCAUGCCGCGUGUGUGAAGAAGGCCUUAUGGUUGUAAAGCACUUUAAGCGAGGAGGAGGCUACUUUAGUUAAUACCUAGAGAUAGUGGACGUUACUCGCAGAAUAAGCACCGGCUAACUCUGUGCCAGCAGCCGCGGUAAUACAGAGGGUGCGAGCGUUAAUCGGAUUUACUGGGCGUAAAGCGUGCGUAGGCGGCUUAUUAAGUCGGAUGUGAAAUCCCCGAGCUUAACUUGGGAAUUGCAUUCGAUACUGGUGAGCUAGAGUAUGGGAGAGGAUGGUAGAAUUCCAGGUGUAGCGGUGAAAUGCGUAGAGAUCUGGAGGAAUACCGAUGGCGAAGGCAGCCAUCUGGCCUAAUACUGACGCUGAGGUACGAAAGCAUGGGGAGCAAACAGGAUUAGAUACCCUGGUAGUCCAUGCCGUAAACGAUGUCUACUAGCCGUUGGGGCCUUUGAGGCUUUAGU